This 167-nucleotide ribosomal RNA is filed under the name uncultured bacterium. RNAcentral describes it as "partial 16S rRNA". It matches the Rfam family "Bacterial small subunit ribosomal RNA", at positions 338 to 522 of the family's 1533-position model. The record is from RNAcentral.
CCUACGGGGGGCGGCAGUGGGGAAUAUUGGACAAUGGGCGCAAGCCUGAUCCAGCCACGCCGCGUGAGUGAUGAAGGCCUUAGGGUUGUAAAGCUCUUUCACCGGUGAAGAUAAUGACGGUAACCGGAGAAGAAGCCCCGGCUAACUUCGUGCCAGCAGCCCCGGUC